AACGAACGCUGGCGGCAUGCCUAACACAUGCAAGUCGAACGAGUGCCUUCGGGUGCUAGUGGCGCACGGGUGCGUAACGCGUGGGAAUCUGCCCUUAGGUUCGGAAUAACAGCUGGAAACGGCUGCUAAUACCGGAUGAUAUCGCGAGAUCAAAGAUUUAUCGCCUGAGGAUGAGCCCGCGUUGGAUUAGGUAGUUGGUGGGGUAAAGGCCUACCAAGCCGACGAUCCAUAGCUGGUCUGAGAGGAUGAUCAGCCACACUGGGACUGAGACACGGCCCAGACUCCUACGGGAGGCAGCAGUGGGGAAUAUUGGACAAUGGGCGCAAGCCUGAUCCAGCAAUGCCGCGUGAGUGAUGAAGGCCCUAGGGUUGUAAAGCUCUUUUGCCCGGGAAGAUAAUGACUGUACCGGGAGAAUAAGCCCCGGCUAACUCCGUGCCAGCCGCCGCGGUAA
This 451-nucleotide ribosomal RNA is filed under the name uncultured bacterium. RNAcentral's name for it is "partial 16S ribosomal RNA". It matches the Rfam family "Bacterial small subunit ribosomal RNA", at positions 29 to 523 of the family's 1533-position model. The record is from RNAcentral.